GGCAGACGGGUGAGUAACAUGUGGGUAUCUGCCCUUUGGCCUGGAAUAACACGAGGAAACUUGUGCUAAUACCGGAUAAGUCUUUACGGAGAAAGCUUUAUGCACCAUUGGAUGAGCCCGCACUUGAUUAGUUUGUUGGUGGGGUAAUGGCCUACCAAGACUGUGAUCAAUAGCUGAUUUGAGAGGAUGAUCAGCCACAUUGGGACUGAGACACGGCCCAAACUCCUACGGGAGGCAGCAGUGGGGAAUCUUGCACAAUGGAGGAAACUCUGAUGCAGCGAUGCCGCGUGAGUGAAGAAGGCCCUUGGGUUGUAAAGCUCUUUCGUCGGGGAAGAAGAUGACUGUACCCGAAUAAGAAGGUCCGGCUAACUUCGUGCCAGCAGCCGCGGUAAUACGAAGGGACCUAGCGUAGUUCGGAAUUACUGGGCUUAAAGAGUUCGUAGGUGGUUGAAAAAGUUAGUGGUGAAAUCCCAGAGCUUAACUCUGGAACUGCCAUUAAAACUUUUCAGCUAGAGUAUGAUAGAGGAAAGCAGAAUUUCUAGUGUAGAGGUGAAAUUCGUAGAUAUUAGAAAGAAUACCAAUUGCGAAGGCAGCUUUCUGGAUCAUUACUGACACUGAGGAACGAAAGCAUGGGUAGCGAAGAGGAUUAGAUACCCUCGUAGUCCAUGCCGU
RNAcentral lists this ribosomal RNA (672 nucleotides) under uncultured Alphaproteobacteria bacterium. RNAcentral describes it as "bacterial SSU rRNA". It matches the Rfam family "Bacterial small subunit ribosomal RNA", at positions 97 to 803 of the family's 1533-position model. Lineage: Bacteria; Pseudomonadati; Pseudomonadota; Alphaproteobacteria. The record is from RNAcentral.